GAGCGAACGCUGGCGGUCGGCCUAACACAUGCAAGUCGAACGGCAGCACAGUAAGAGCUUGCUCUUACGGGUGGCGAGUGGCGGACGGGUGAGGAAUACAUCGGAAUCUACUUUUUCGUGGGGGAUAACGUAGGGAAACUUACGCUAAUACCGCAUACGACCUACGGGUGAAAGCAGGGGAUCUUCGGACCUUGCGCGAUUGAAUGAGCCGAUGUCGGAUUAGCUAGUUGGCGGGGUAAAGGCCCACCAAGGCGACGAUCCGUAGCUGGUCUGAGAGGAUGAUCAGCCACACUGGAACUGAGACACGGUCCAGACUCCGACGGGAGGCAGCAGUGGGGAAUAUUGGACAAUGGGCGCAAGCCUGAUCCAGCCAUACCGCGUGGGUGAAGAAGGCCUUCGGGUUGUAAAGCCCUUUUGUUGGGAAAGAAAAGCAGCAGGUUAAUACCCCGCUGUUCUGACGGUACCCAAAGAAUAAACACCGGCGAACUUCGG
RNAcentral lists this ribosomal RNA (492 nucleotides) under uncultured bacterium. RNAcentral's name for it is "partial 16S ribosomal RNA". It matches the Rfam family "Bacterial small subunit ribosomal RNA", at positions 27 to 506 of the family's 1533-position model. The record is from RNAcentral.